Etheostoma cragini (Arkansas darter) is the source of this 333-nucleotide long non-coding RNA. RefSeq lists it as uncharacterized. NCBI's taxonomy places the organism in Eukaryota, Metazoa, Chordata, Actinopteri, Perciformes, Percidae. The record is from RefSeq and is a predicted model, not a curated record. The transcript is spliced from 3 exons.
UUCACCUUGAUGUCAGACCCCCCUUUACGAUGGGGAACUGAAGCCGUUUUCUCUGCUCUCUUCAAAGCCACCAGACUCCUUUGACAAAAAUAGACAUUUUACCUGGAAGAACACAGGAGUUGCUGCUCCACCGCUGCCUCCAUCGCUUCAUUUGGUUGUUAGUUUUAAUGGUUCCUAACCGUUUAAAACAAUAAAGUCACACGCUAACACAAACUAACUAAGCGAUGGAGGCAGAGGUGGAGCAGCAACUCCCUUGUUCUGCGAGGUAAAAUGUCUGUUUUUGUCAAAGGAGUCUGGUGGCUUUGAAGAGACCAGAGCUAAAGGCGUCAGUUC